Molecule: ribosomal RNA, 679 nt
Filed under: Streptococcus gallolyticus subsp. gallolyticus
Lineage: Bacteria; Bacillati; Bacillota; Bacilli; Lactobacillales; Streptococcaceae
Description: bacterial SSU rRNA
Rfam family: Bacterial small subunit ribosomal RNA
Source: RNAcentral
CCCGGGAAACUUUUCCGGAAUUAUUGGGGCGUAAGCGAGCGCAGGCGGUUUAUUAAGUCUGAAGUGAAAUGCAGUGGCUUAACCAUUGUUCUCCUUCGAAACUGGUAGACUUGAAUGCCCAAGGGGAGAGUGGAAUUCCCUGUGUAACGGUGAAAUGCCUAAAAAUUUGGAAGAACACCCGUGGCCAAAGCCGCUCUCUGGUCUGUAAAUGACCCCUAAGGUCCAAAACGUGGGGAACAAACAGGAAUAAAUACCCUGGUAGUCCACGCCGUAAACGAUGAGUGCUAUGUGUUAGGCCCUUUCCGGGGCUUACUGCCGCAGCUAACGCAUUAAGCCCUCCGCCUGGGGAGUACGACCGCAAGGUUGAAACUCAAAGGAAUUGACGGGGGCCCGCACAAGCGGUGGAGCAUGUGGUUUAAUUCGAAGCAACGCGAAGAACCUUACCAGGUCUUGACAUCCCGAUACUAUUCCUAAAGAUAGAAAGUCCCUUCGGAACAUCCGAGACAGGUGGUGCAUGGUUGUCGUCAGCUCGUGUCGUGAGAUGUUGGGUUAAGUCCCGCAACGAGCGCAACCCCUAUAUUUAGUUGCCAUCAGUUAGUUGGGCACUCUAACGAAACUGCCCGUAAUAAACCGGAAGAAGGGGGGGAAGGACUUAAAUCAACGAGUCCCUUAUGGCCGG